RNAcentral lists this ribosomal RNA (432 nucleotides) under uncultured bacterium. Its description in RNAcentral is "partial 16S ribosomal RNA". It matches the Rfam family "Bacterial small subunit ribosomal RNA", at positions 28 to 506 of the family's 1533-position model. The record is from RNAcentral.
GACGAACGCUGGCGGCAUGCCUAACACAUGCAAGUCGAACGAGACCUUCGGGUCUAGUGGCGCACGUGUGCGUAACGCGUGGGAACCUGCCCUUAGGUUCGGAAUAACUCCCCGAAAGGGGUGCUAAUACCGGAUAAUGUCUUCGGACCAAAGAUUUAUCGCCUGUUGAUGGGCCCGCGUUGGAUUCGCUAGUUGGUAGGGUAAAAGCCUACCAAGGCGACGAUCCAUAGCUGGUCUGAGAGGAUGAUCAGCCACACUGGGACUGAGACACGGCCCAGACUCGUAGGGGAGGCAGCAGUGGGGAAUAUAGGACAGUGGGCGAAAGCCUGAACCAGCAAGGCCGGGUGAGUGAUGAAGGCCUUAGGGUUGUAAAGCUCUUUUACCCGGGAGGAUAAUGACAGUACCGGGAGAAUAAGCUCCGGCUAACUCCGU